CCUGACGCAGCGACGCCGCGUGCGGGUAGAAGGCCUUCGGGUUGUAAACCGCUUUCGGGAGGGACGAAAAUGACGGUACCUCCAGAAGAAGGCCUGGCCAACUACGUGCCAGCAGCCGCGGUAAUACGUAGGGGCCAAGCGUUGUCCGGAUUUAUUGGGCGUAAAGGGCUCGUAGGCGGUUUGACAAGUCGGACGUGAAAACCCAGGGCUUAACCCCGGGACGCCGUUCGAAACUGUCAUGACUAGGGUCCGGUAGAGGUGAGUGGAAUUCUCGGUGUAGCGGUGGAAUGCGCAGAUAUCGAGAGGAACACCAGUAGCGAAGGCGGCUCACUGGGCCGGUACCGACGCUGAGGAGCGAAAGCGUGGGGAGCAAACAGGAUUAGAUACCCUGGUAGUCCACGCCGUAAACGUUGAACACUAGGUGUGGCGAGUUAAUCCAUACUUGCCGUGCCGCACGUAACGCAUUAAGUGUUCCGCCUGGGGAGUACGG
RNAcentral lists this ribosomal RNA (490 nucleotides) under unidentified sulfate-reducing bacterium. RNAcentral describes it as "bacterial SSU rRNA". It matches the Rfam family "Bacterial small subunit ribosomal RNA", at positions 382 to 885 of the family's 1533-position model. The record is from RNAcentral.